RNAcentral lists this unclassified non-coding RNA (161 nucleotides) under soil metagenome. RNAcentral describes it as "partial internal transcribed spacer 1". The record is from RNAcentral.
AAGAGACGUUGCCCCUCGGGGUAUACCUCCCACCCUUUGUUUAUUAUACCUUUGUUGCUUUGGCGGGCCCGUCCUCGGACCACCGGCUUCUGCUGAUCAGUGCCCGCCAGAGGACCUAAAACUCUGUUUGUUAAUAUUGUCUGAGUACUAUAUAAUAGUUA